UGGACUUUCUGGGAUCUGCUUUCCUUGGAAGCUUUCGCGGACGAGGUCUCUGUGGUUCCCCGCUCCCUGCCAGCAGCUCCCCUUCCUGUGCGAUGCAUCUCAGUCACUCACCUGUUCCCGAGGUCUUUGUACUUUUCCCCAGAGGCUGUGGGCAACCCGCAGCAGGCAGAGAGCGCAGACAUCUAUCAGGGCACCCAUAAGGAGCCCGGUAUACCCCCCUUGCUCCAUGUAGUCGCAGAGGAGGCCCAGGAGGUAGGGCAAGCUGAAGGCCGCCUGCUCGGUGCGCAGGGGCUGCCGCUUUGGGCCCUCUGUUGCAGCAGCCCUGCUGACCCUUUGCCAGAUCCAGCUGGGGCAGGAGGGGAGGCCAAGCCAGCUGGGCCAGUUGGAGGUCUGGCGCUCGGUGUCAGCAAGCAGCGGCUCCUCAGGAGGGACCAGCUCUUCCUCCCUGUCCUCGUCCCAGUCACCAUUGCUGGAACGGCCAGGGCGCCUUCCAGUGAAUGGAGACAUGGACAGAAGCAGGAAGACGAGGAGGGCCUGGCUGAACUUCAUCCUGUUCUCUCUCAACGAACAAUCGCAACACACAAAGUGGCGGUCAAUCAGAGCAGAGCUCGCAGAGCUCCAGCACUAACCACCAGGAGAGAUCGACUGCCCGUCGUGUCUGCACUGGGAGGGGCUGCCAACGUGACUAUACACAGUGAUGCGUGCCCUGCUCUUGUGAUGUCACAAAACCUAUCCUGGUAAAACAUACCCCGUAUAACAUACUGUAAAAUAUACAGCAACUGUUUAAUAAUUUUCUUUAGGAAAGGUUUCAGUCUCCCGCAGUGGGCCUGGGAAAGAAC
Molecule: long non-coding RNA, 839 nt
Filed under: Numida meleagris (helmeted guineafowl)
Lineage: Eukaryota; Metazoa; Chordata; Aves; Galliformes; Numididae
Description: lncRNA (ENSNMEG00000007734.1)
Source: RNAcentral